RNAcentral lists this ribosomal RNA (206 nucleotides) under uncultured Actinomycetales bacterium. Its description in RNAcentral is "partial 16S ribosomal RNA". It matches the Rfam family "Bacterial small subunit ribosomal RNA", at positions 568 to 774 of the family's 1533-position model. Lineage: Bacteria; Bacillati; Actinomycetota; Actinomycetes; Actinomycetales. The record is from RNAcentral.
CUCGUAGGCGGCUUGUCACGUCUGCUGUGAAACGCGGGGCUUAACUCCGCGCUUGCAGUGGGUACGGGCAGGCUUGAGUAUAGUAGGGGAGACUGGAAUUCCUGGUGUAGCGGUGGAAUGCGCAGAUAUCAGGAGGAACACCGAUGGCGAAGGCAGGUCUCUGGGCUAUAACUGACGCUGAGGAGCGAAAGCAUGGGGAGCGAACA